This is a long non-coding RNA of Nerophis ophidion (straightnose pipefish), 1262 nucleotides long. RefSeq lists it as uncharacterized. The transcript has 2 exons. NCBI's taxonomy places the organism in Eukaryota, Metazoa, Chordata, Actinopteri, Syngnathiformes, Syngnathidae. The record is from RefSeq and is a predicted model, not a curated record.
CGUUUCCGCCGGCACGUUAAACAAAGUGUUAAAAGAGCUCCGGCAUAACAAGCAACGUAGCGUCGGUAAUACUACACGGGAGAUAGUUCACCACGGUUGCAGUUCAGAGAAAUAACCACAGUAAGCUUCCUAUUUCAGUGUGUUAUAAGUGACAGUUUAUAAGUUGCACUCGUUAAAGUUUAGGACGUUUGGGCACUCUCUUUGCCAGUAGAUGUGUGUGUGUGCUAACCACAGCUCGCAUGUGUUUUUGUUUGCUGCACAGUGACUUCACGAAGGGCAGGUUUAGUCACAAAUUAGUUAAGUUUGUUAAAGAGACCCUCUCCCCUGUGACUGCUUAAUAUUUGGAGAGCGAGUGUAGAACAUUAUAAAGAGUUUAGUUGUGUGCUAUCGUGGCUACAUUGCUGCGAGGGAAGUGGACAGCGCGAGGUUGGAGUGUAAAUUGCUCGCGCUCACGGACUAGUCGACAGAGAGGUGACCAAGGAAGAGGCUGGUUCUACUCUCGCUCCAGACUGGACUCGUGAGGCAGUUAACGGAAUAUCUGCCGAGCCCCUCCGCCCCGACUUCUCUUCUCUACAACGGGAGGUGUCCCCCUUUGUAUCCAGCAUUUUCAACUCACCCACCCCUGCCCUACGUGCACCACCGAUUCAGCAGGACCACAAAGGACAAUCUUCUGGCCCAGUCAAGAGGUCCAGGAGAUGACGCCCAGUUUGACUUGGACAUCUGAAGAAGAUUAUAAUAAGUCAUUGCAACGUCAUCAUCAGUGUUUAUAGCUAGUACACAAGAUUUUUUUUAGACCAGUCCUAUUAAAAACUUCAGAGUUUGGAAUGUCUAAUCAGUCUUUUAAAAAGGGAUUUACAUUCAUAUUGUAAUGAAUGUGCAUGAGAGAAUAUGACACAAUGUCAUGAUGGCUCAUGACGGUUUUGGAAAAUUGUGUUUUUCUUGUGUUUUAGUGUUUUUUUCCUGUCCAUCGCUCUAUUUUGGUUCCUCUUCUGCUUUUUGGUCUGUCCUGCUGUUAAUUUUACUUCUGCUUCCAUGCGCUGUUCUCACCUAAUCCUGAUUACCAACCAAGAGGGUUUAUGUGCCAGUGUCACUGUUUCUUGAGCUGGACGCUAGUUCAUUGUUCAGAUUUUGUUUUUGCCUGACCUUGUCUUGGCUAGCCUUGCCUUGUUAUUGUCACAUUUUUCCUCACUCGUAAUCUACUUCUGUAGCCACGCUGGUGCUUCCUCCUUUUUUGUCACUAAUAAAAGUACCUUUUGCUUGCA